GCGCGGGUGGUGGAAUGGUAUACACGUACGCUUGAGGUGCGUAUGCCGUAAGGCGUGCAGGUUCAACUCCUGUCCCGCGCACCA
RNAcentral lists this transfer RNA (84 nucleotides) under Candidatus Liptonbacteria bacterium. RNAcentral describes it as "tRNA-Leu". It matches the Rfam family "tRNA". From Rfam's summary of the family: Transfer RNA (tRNA) molecules are approximately 80 nucleotides in length. Their secondary structure includes four short double-helical elements and three loops (D, anti-codon, and T loops). Further hydrogen bonds mediate the characteristic L-shaped molecular structure. tRNAs have two regions of fundamental functional importance: the anti-codon, which is responsible for specific mRNA codon recognition, and the 3' end, to which the tRNAs corresponding amino acid is attached (by aminoacyl-tRNA synthetases). tRNAs cope with the degeneracy of the genetic code in two manners: having more than one tRNA (with a specific anti-codon) for a particular amino acid; and 'wobble' base-pairing, i.e. permitting non-standard base-pairing at the 3rd anti-codon position. The record is from RNAcentral. Lineage: Bacteria; Candidatus Liptoniibacteriota.